This 25-nucleotide microRNA is filed under the name Mus musculus (house mouse). RNAcentral describes it as "mmu-miR-670-3p". Its record names the gene mmu-miR-670-3p. The record is from miRBase by way of RNAcentral. Lineage: Eukaryota; Metazoa; Chordata; Mammalia; Rodentia; Muridae.
UUUCCUCAUAUCCAUUCAGGAGUGU